RNAcentral lists this ribosomal RNA (497 nucleotides) under uncultured bacterium. Its description in RNAcentral is "partial 16S ribosomal RNA". It matches the Rfam family "Bacterial small subunit ribosomal RNA", at positions 28 to 507 of the family's 1533-position model. The record is from RNAcentral.
GAUGAACGCUGGCGGCGUGCCUAAUACAUGCAAGUCGAGCGAACAGACGAGGAGCUUGCUCCUCUGACGUUAGCGGCGGACGGGUGAGUAACACGUGGAUAACCUACCUAUAAGACUGGGAUAACUUCGGGAAACCGGAGCUAAUACCGGAUAAUAUAUUGAACCGCAUGGUUCAAUAAUGAAAGACGGUUUUGCUGUCACUUAUAGCUGGAUCCGCGCCGCAUUAGCUAGUUGGUAAGGUAACGGCUUACCAAGGCAACGAUGCGUAGCCGACCUGAGAGGGUGAUCGGCCACACUGGAACUGAGACACGGUCCAGACUCCUACGGGAGGCAGCAGUAGGGAAUCUUCCGCAAUGGGCGAAAGCCUGACGGAGCAACGCCGCGUGAGUGAUGAAGGUCUUCGGAUCGUAAAACUCUGUUAUUAGGGAAGAACAAAUGUGUAAGUAACUGUGCACGUCUUGACGGUACCUAAUCAGAAAGCCACGGCUAACUACGUG